Molecule: ribosomal RNA, 861 nt
Filed under: uncultured bacterium
Lineage: Bacteria
Description: bacterial SSU rRNA
Rfam family: Bacterial small subunit ribosomal RNA
Source: RNAcentral
GAAUUCGCCCUUAGAGUUUGAUCCUGGCUCAGGACGAACGCUGGCGGCGCGCCUAACACAUGCAAGUCGAACGAGAGAUGAGGAGCUUGCUCUUCAAAUCGAGUGGCGAACGGGUGAGUAACGCGUGAGGAACCUGCCUCAAAGAGGGGGACAACAGUUGGAAACGACUGCUAAUACCGCAUAAGCCCACGGCUCGGCAUCGAGCAGGGGGAAAAGGAGCAAUCCGCUUUGAGAUGGCCUCGCGUCCGAUUAGCUAGUUGGUGAGGUAACGGCCCACCAAGGCGACGAUCGGUAGCCGGACUGAGAGGUUGAACGGCCACAUUGGGACUGAGACACGGCCCAGACUCCUACGGGAGGCAGCAGUGGGGAAUAUUGCACAAUGGGGGAAACCCUGAUGCAGCGACGCCGCGUGGAGGAAUGAAGGUCUUCGGAUUGUAAACCCCUGUCAUGUGGGAGCAAAUUAAAAAGAUAGUACCACAAGAGGAAGAGACGGCUAACUCUGUGCCAGCAGCCGCGGUAAUACAGAGGUCUCAAGCGUUGUUCGGAAUCACUGGGCGUAAAGCGUGCGUAGGCUGUUUCGUAAGUCGUGUGUGAAAGGCGCGGGCUCAACCCGCGGACGGCACAUGAUACUGCGAGACUAGAGUAAUGGAGGGGGAACCGGAAUUCUCGGUGUAGCAGUGAAAUGCGUAGAUAUCGAGAGGAACACUCGUGGCGAAGGCGGGUUCCUGGACAUUAACUGACGCUGAGGCACGAAGGCCAGGGGAGCGAAAGGGAUUAGAUACCCCUGUAGUCCUGGCAGUAAACGGUGCACGCUUGGUGUGCGGGGAAUCGACCCCCUGCGUGCCGGAACUUACGCGUUAA